GGCCUCGUAACUCAGUUGGUUAGAGCGUUUGCUGAACUAAAGCUUUCCCCAUGCUGGCGUGGGUUUGAAUCCCACCAAGGCCG
This 83-nucleotide transfer RNA is filed under the name Schistocephalus solidus. It matches the Rfam family "tRNA". Rfam says of the family: Transfer RNA (tRNA) molecules are approximately 80 nucleotides in length. Their secondary structure includes four short double-helical elements and three loops (D, anti-codon, and T loops). The record is from Rfam by way of RNAcentral. Lineage: Eukaryota; Metazoa; Platyhelminthes; Cestoda; Diphyllobothriidea; Diphyllobothriidae.